CCACUUUCAAGUUGAGGGCUAUUCUCUGGUUAUUUUUCCUUCCUUCAUUUAUUAGUUUGUCGUAUAUGGUUUUAUUUUUCUUCUAUUUAUUUUUUUUUUUUUUAUUUCAUUUUAUCUAUUCAUUAAUCUUUCCUUUUCGAUUUUUGGGAUUUCUUUACUUUAUUUCUAUUUCCUUUUUGUAUUAUUCAUAUUUUUUUUUUCUCUCUCCACAGUAUCUCUUCCUUUGGUUGUACUCCAGCUGUAAUACUUGUUAUUCAUUUUUGACUAGUUAGGCAUGGGAGAUACAACCUGUAAUACCUCUAAUAGUACACAUUAUUUAUCAUGCCAAUUAUGUGUGUCCCAUUUGGUCCAAUAAAAUCUUCACUGGCCCAUAUGCUUUGUCAAAUUGAGAAACAUUUUUUACUUGCACUAAUAUUAGUAUUUAGAUCUGGUUCGUUUUGGUGGGAGUUUUUUUUUUUGUAAAGCAUGCAUGUCAGCUGGGCGCCUGCUCAUCAUGGCGAAGGCGAACCUGGUUUUGUAUAUGGUUACUUGAUGGUUUUGGCAACCAUCAAAAACCCCUGCAGACACUUUAUGGUGGAACUACUGCCUUUAUACACUUGUACACCCGUAUAUCAAUGGAAAGCAAGGAAAGUGAACCAGAAAAGGGACUGGGGUUGAUAGGAUUCUAGAAGUGAGUACCGGAUAACCGCAAGAUGGCUGCCAGACUAGGAGCUUGAUGUUGGUAAAAAGCAAAAAAAAUUUAUCGUCGAGCGAAAUGCGUGCAUCUUCGUAGUACCAAUAGGUACAUUUCUAGUUAGUGUUACUGACUAAACACCUUCCACUUCUCCUUUUUGUACAAGAGCAUCUAUUUUCAUAUUUUUGUAUUGUAGAAUUAAUAAAAUGUGUUAGUUUUUUUGUUUUUUGUGUUUUUUUUUUGUUGCUUUUAAUAACAUCAAGUUCCUGGUACACUUUCCUUGCUUUUCAGUUUCUAUUUGGGGUUAUCCCCCAUCCUUAGUGUACCUGGAAUUGGCUCAUAUAAAGUACCAUUCACCCUUGACAAAGGCCCAUAAGGCUGAAACACUGUGUGGCGUGGUAACUUAGCUCCAGUCCCACACCACUAGUUCUUGAGGUAUCACUAUUGGUACACAUGAUCUAUGUGAGCUUUUUUCACUUGUAGUAAUUUAUUUUUGUCUGCUGUUAAUUAUGUAUAAACUCAUGAUUUUCUUUCUCCUGGACCACAUGAAUUUUGCAUAAGAAUGUUUGUGACUAUUCUUGUAAUUUUGUGUAUAUGGGUCAAGUAAUAAAGUGUUAUUUUAUUUAUACUACUUGGUGUGCAGUGGAUAUUAUUUAUGGUAACUAUAAAACAGUUAUUUUACGAGAAAUGGCAAUAUCAGCAAGCAAUUAAGGGAUUUUCCUAUUUCAUAACAUUGGAUUGGCUGAUUGCCAUGAGUUGUAGGUUCACAAUGCAUUUGGACCAGCAAUCAUAAUACUUGGAUUUGCAACCGGUAAACUUGUCUGUGAUCCAGAACAACCUCCCCACCUUCCUGCAAAGGGGGCAAAAGUGAAAGUUUAAAGAAUGGCAAGGAAGAAACCAUAUUGUUAAUCAGUCCUCUGCAUAAAGAUCUAUGUUGAUUUUUUGGUUUGAGGUGUUA
This 1631-nucleotide long non-coding RNA is filed under the name Pelobates cultripes (western spadefoot toad). Lineage: Eukaryota; Metazoa; Chordata; Amphibia; Anura; Pelobatidae. The record is from RNAcentral.